This 801-nucleotide ribosomal RNA is filed under the name uncultured bacterium. RNAcentral's name for it is "bacterial SSU rRNA". It matches the Rfam family "Bacterial small subunit ribosomal RNA", at positions 64 to 845 of the family's 1533-position model. The record is from RNAcentral.
GAGCGCUAGAGGGGGGCGACCCCCAAUGGAGCAGCGAACGGGUGAGUAACGCGUGGGUGAUCUUCCUUCGAGUGGGGAACAACAUCGGGAAACUGGUGCUAAUUCCGCAUAACAUCUCGAGACCAAGUGUCCUGAGAUCAAAGCCGGGGACCGCAAGGCCUGGCGCUUGAAGAUGAGCCCGCGUUCGAUUAGCUAGUUGGCGGGGUAAUGGCCCACCAAGGCUUCGAUCGAUAGCCGGCCUGAGAGGGCGGACGGCCACACUGGAACUGAGACACGGUCCAGACUCCUACGGGAGGCAGCAGUGGGGAAUUUUUCGCAAUGGGCGCAAGCCUGACGAAGCAACGCCGCGUGGAGGAUGAAGGUCUUCGGAUUGUAAACUCCUGUCGACCGGGACGAAUGCACCCGACCUAAUACGUCGGAGUGUUGACGGUACCGGUAAAGGAAGCCACGGCUAACUCUGUGCCAGCAGCCGCGGUAAUACAGAGGUGGCAAGCGUUGUUCGGAAUUACUGGGCGUAAAGGGCGCGUAGGCGGCCUUGUAAGUCUCGUGUGAAAGCCCUCGGCUUAACUGAGGAUCUGCACGGGAUACUGCGAGGCUUGAGUUCGGGAGAGGAAAGCGGAAUUCCGGGUGUAGCGGUGAAAUGCGUAGAUAUCCGGAGGAACACCAGUGGCGAAGGCGGCUUUCUGGACCGACACUGACGCUGAGGCGCGAAAGCUAGGGGAGCAAACGGGAUUAGAUACCCCGGUAGUCCUAGCUGUAAACGAUGAUCGCUGGGUGUGGGGGGUUUUUACUCCCUCCGUG